GAUGAACGCUGGCGGCGUGCCUAAUACAUGCAAGUCGAGCGAACAGACGAGGAGCUUGCUCCUUUGACGUUAGCGGCGGACGGGUGAGUAACACGUAGGUAAUCUACCUAUAAGACUGGGAUAACUUCGGGAAACCGGAGCUAAUACCGGAUAAUAUUUCGAACCGCAUGGUUCGAUAGUGAAAGAUGGCUUUGCUAUCACUUAUAGAUGGACCUGCGCCGUAUUAGCUAGUUGGUAAGGUAACGGCUUACCAAGGCAACGAUACGUAGCCGACCUGAGAGGGUGAUCGGCCACACUGGAACUGAGACACGGUCCAGACUCCUACGGGAGGCGGCAGUAGGGAAUCUUCCGCAAUGGGCGAAAGCCUGACGGAGCAACGCCGCGUGAGUGAUGAAGGUCUUCGGAUCGUAAAACUCUGUUAUUAGGGAAGAACAAACGUGUAAGUAACUGUGCACGUCCUGACGGUACCUAAUCAGAAAGCCACGGCUAACUACGUG
Molecule: ribosomal RNA, 497 nt
Filed under: uncultured bacterium
Lineage: Bacteria
Description: partial 16S ribosomal RNA
Rfam family: Bacterial small subunit ribosomal RNA
Source: RNAcentral